CAGCAGCCGCGGGAAUACGGAGGGGGCUAGCGUUAUUCGGAAUUACUGGGCGUAAAGCGCACGUAGGCGGAUCAGAAAGUCAGAGGUGAAAUCCCAGGGCUCAACCUUGGAACUGCCUUUGAAACUCCUGAUCUUGAGGUCGAGAGAGGUGAGUGGAAUUCCGAGUGUAGAGGUGAAAUUCGUAGAUAUUCGGAGGAACACCAGUGGCGAAGGCGGCUCACUGGCUCGAUACUGACGCUGAGGUGCGAAAGCGCGGGGAGCAAACAGGAUUAGAGACCCCCGUAGUCCCUGUCUCUUAUAC
This 301-nucleotide ribosomal RNA is filed under the name uncultured bacterium. RNAcentral describes it as "partial 16S ribosomal RNA". It matches the Rfam family "Bacterial small subunit ribosomal RNA", at positions 509 to 807 of the family's 1533-position model. The record is from RNAcentral.